Ananas comosus (pineapple) is the source of this 1092-nucleotide long non-coding RNA. RefSeq lists it as uncharacterized. The transcript is spliced from 3 exons. The record is from RefSeq and is a predicted model, not a curated record. Lineage: Eukaryota; Viridiplantae; Streptophyta; Magnoliopsida; Poales; Bromeliaceae.
GUACAAGAAACAUAAACAUGAUACAACCACCCCAAUUGAAUAUAUAAACAUCCAUACAUUCAUACAUUCAUACCCCAUUCACAUUCGAAUUCACUUUCAGAGUUUCAAUCAUAAGUCCACAACUAUUGGUUUCAAAAUGUUUCCUAUCCGAAAAAUCGUUUUGAAAUACUAGUUUAUGAAAAUCACGCGAAAACCUUUUCAAAACCGUUUCCCACACGAAAACCCUUUUUCUUUAAAACACACUACCACUAUAGCACAUUGAACUUUCGCAAAUUGCAAGGUUCGAGUAUUUGAUCUGUGUUCCGAGCUCUUCCAUGUUUUCAGGAGGGUCGUCAACGGUGUGCCUACCAAUGACUCGCAUCCCGAGGAGCAAAAGUGAAAACUUAGCACCAAAAUCUCUAACUUGUAGAAUUUGGACUGCUCUCGGGUUUGACUCUAUAGGGCAGAGUACCGGUACUGCAUCGGCAGAGUACUUGUACUGGACCUAGUACCAGUACUGCAUCGUGAUGGUACCGAUACCCAGUGUAUUUUCUCGCUAACCCAAGGCUCGGGUUUGUGCAGACUGCUGCUUGGUACCGGUACUCUUUUCCGCGUACCGGUACGCAGUGCAGUGCAGACUGCACGUUGUUGGAGGGCCUUUUUGAGAUUGUUACAUCUCUAUAUAUACUCCUACAGCCCUUAGAGAGCUCUAUUGAGCCCUAAACCGUGGAGAGCUCAGCGUCAUGUUGGAUUUCCACCAUUGGAGAAGCCUUGGAUUGAAGAGUGGAGCUUUCUUGAGGAUCAAUCUUCAACCUUAGCUCAUUCCAAACUUGGAUUGGAGCUUCUUGAGAGGGAAGCAGCUCCAUGGAAGAAACCUUUUCAUUGUUUCAUUUCAACGGGAACUUCAAACUGGGUGGUUUUCCUUUUAUUUGCUCCUUUAACCUCGUGCAUGAGGUUUGUUUUUGUCCAUUGAUUGAAUUUGGCUAUAUAUGGGUUUUUUCUAGUACUUGCAAUUGAUGAUUUAAUUAUCGCAUUAUAGCACGCUAUCCACUUUGCAGUAUGUUUUGUGCUACGACACUCUCUCCAUGCUGCCAUUACAUUUAUUAUUGUUUA